This 588-nucleotide ribosomal RNA is filed under the name uncultured Alphaproteobacteria bacterium. RNAcentral's name for it is "bacterial SSU rRNA". It matches the Rfam family "Bacterial small subunit ribosomal RNA", at positions 1 to 603 of the family's 1533-position model. The record is from RNAcentral. Lineage: Bacteria; Pseudomonadati; Pseudomonadota; Alphaproteobacteria.
AUUGGGCCCGACGUCGCAUGCUCCCGGCCGCCAUGGCGGCCGCGGGAAUUCGAUUAGAGUUUGAUCAUGGCUCAGAACGAACGCUGGCGGCAUGCCUAACACAUGCAAGUCGAACGAGAUCUUCGGGUCUAGUGGCGCACGGGUGCGUAACGCGUGGGAAUCUGCCCUCAGGUUCGGAAUAACCAUUGGAAACGAUGGCUAAUACCGGAUGAUGACGUUAAGUCCAAAGAUUUAUCGCCUGAGGAUGAGCCCGCGUAGGAUUAGCUAGUUGGUGUGGUAAGGGCGCACCAAGGCGACGAUCCUUAGCUGGUCUGAGAGGAUGAUCAGCCACACUGGGACUGAGACACGGCCCAGACUCCUACGGGAGGCAGCAGUGGGGAAUAUUGGACAAUGGGCGCAAGCCUGAUCCAGCAAUGCCGCGUGAGUGAUGAAGGCCUUAGGGUUGUAAAGCUCUUUUACCCGGGAUGAUAAUGACAGUACCGGGAGAAUAAGCUCCGGCUAACUCCGUGCCAGCAGCCGCGGUAAUACGAAUCACUAGUGAAUUCGCGGCCGCCUGCAGGUCGACCAUAUGGGAGAGCUCCCAACGCG